GGCGACGUGGCCAAGAGGCUAAGGCAGAGGACUGCAAAUCCUUUAUCCCCGGUUCGAAUCCGGGCGUCGCCUCCA
RNAcentral lists this transfer RNA (75 nucleotides) under Bacillota bacterium. RNAcentral describes it as "tRNA-Cys". It matches the Rfam family "tRNA". Rfam says of the family: Transfer RNA (tRNA) molecules are approximately 80 nucleotides in length. Their secondary structure includes four short double-helical elements and three loops (D, anti-codon, and T loops). RNAcentral also lists the same sequence under 1 other name. Lineage: Bacteria; Bacillati; Bacillota. The record is from RNAcentral.